CCGGACAGGGAAACUUCGAUGGACUUCAGUUUGCAAGCGAUGGAAUCCGUCAGAAAAAUAUGUGCAGGUCGAAAGGUUUCAAGUUUACGGCGGCACAGCAACAAACGUCAAGCGAAAACCGCAUUCCAGUACAGCAGAGUGUUCAGAGACAAAGAAUUCAGCAAUAUCCCAAUGUAAUGAAUGAGCAAUUGCAAGGCAACACCGAAACUACGUCAGCGCCUACAAGGGAAGAUAUUAUGAAAAUGCGAAGAAAAAGCUCUGUGCAGCGGAACAAGUCGUGCACAAUAUCUUAGUGUUAGAAGUUUGACUUGAAAUGUUUUUAACUCAUUUGAACAUCAAAAAACUCUUAAGGUACUUGGACUGGAUGUUGGAGAAAAAACUAAAAUAUUUUUUUCAAUUACCUGCUUUGUUUGGCAUAUUCUUAAUGCGGAUGAUGGCUCCACAGAAUAUUUUCAAGUGGAACUGAAUAGCAAUAUUUUUAUUUAUUUUUUUUGUAAAUGAUCCUCACUUUAAGCAGUCCAAGUGGCUUAAACUCUUGUAAUAAUUUUAUUUUACCUUUACGACUUAAAUGAACAUUAUCAAAUACUAAAAACAAAAAAA
This is a long non-coding RNA of Exaiptasia diaphana, 600 nucleotides long. RefSeq lists it as uncharacterized. The record is from RefSeq and is a predicted model, not a curated record. NCBI's taxonomy places the organism in Eukaryota, Metazoa, Cnidaria, Anthozoa, Actiniaria, Aiptasiidae. The transcript is spliced from 2 exons.